UUUUCUCCUGUUUUUCAAAAACAUGUCUAUUUGGAGGUAUAAAAAGUCUGACCUGCCCACUGAUAAAGUUUAAUAAUUUAAGGGCCGCGGUAUUAUGACUGUGCAAAGGUAGCAUAAUCAUUUGGUUUUUAAAUGAGAUCUUGUAUGAAUGGUUUGACAAAGGAAAAACUGUCUUUAAGUUAAUAUUUGAAUUUAACUUUUAAGUGAGAAGGCUUAAAUAUUUUAGGAGGACGAUAAGACCCUAUAAAGCUUUAUAUUGUAAUUAUAUUUAAUUAAAUUUUUUAUAUAAAAGUUUUAUAUAAUUAUUUAUUUUGUUGGGGAGACAUAAGUAAAAAUAAUAGUAACUGCUUAAAAGAUAAACAUAUAUUAAUGGAGAAUUAUUGAUCCUAUUUAUAGAUUUAAAGAUUAAGUUACUUUAGGGGAUAAAAAGAAAGAAAG
RNAcentral lists this ribosomal RNA (438 nucleotides) under Oziotelphusa sp. ycb. Its description in RNAcentral is "partial large subunit ribosomal RNA". The stretch from base 1 to 217 matches the Rfam family "Archaeal large subunit ribosomal RNA", at positions 1883 to 2143 of the family's 2987-position model. The record is from RNAcentral. Lineage: Eukaryota; Metazoa; Arthropoda; Malacostraca; Decapoda; Parathelphusidae.